This 76-nucleotide transfer RNA is filed under the name Candidatus Peribacteria bacterium RIFOXYA1_FULL_56_14. RNAcentral describes it as "tRNA-Trp". It matches the Rfam family "tRNA". From Rfam's summary of the family: Transfer RNA (tRNA) molecules are approximately 80 nucleotides in length. Their secondary structure includes four short double-helical elements and three loops (D, anti-codon, and T loops). Further hydrogen bonds mediate the characteristic L-shaped molecular structure. tRNAs have two regions of fundamental functional importance: the anti-codon, which is responsible for specific mRNA codon recognition, and the 3' end, to which the tRNAs corresponding amino acid is attached (by aminoacyl-tRNA synthetases). tRNAs cope with the degeneracy of the genetic code in two manners: having more than one tRNA (with a specific anti-codon) for a particular amino acid; and 'wobble' base-pairing, i.e. permitting non-standard base-pairing at the 3rd anti-codon position. RNAcentral also lists the same sequence under 9 other names. Lineage: Bacteria; Candidatus Peregrinibacteriota; Candidatus Peribacteria. The record is from RNAcentral.
AGGCGCUUAGCUCAGUCGGUAGAGCGUCGGUCUCCAAAACCGAAGGUCGUAGGUUCGAUCCCUACAGCGCCUGCCA